Molecule: ribosomal RNA, 1192 nt
Filed under: marine sediment metagenome
Description: bacterial LSU rRNA
Rfam family: Archaeal large subunit ribosomal RNA
Source: RNAcentral
AAGUACCGCGAAGGAACUCGGCAAAAUCGCGCUGUAACUUCGGGAGAAGGAGUGCCAGCUUAGAGAUAAGCUGGUCGCAGUAACAAGGGGACUCCGACUGUUUAAUAAAAACAUAGCCGACUGCUAGUUCGAAAGGAUGUGUAUAGUCGGUGAAUCCUGCUCAGUGCCGGUAUCUGAAAUCGGGUUUCAAUCUGACGAAGGACCGGUAAACAGCGGGGGUAACUAUGACCCUCUUAAGGUAGCGUAAUACCUUGUCGCUUAAUUGGCGACUUGCAUGAAUGGCACAACGAGAGUCCCACUGUCUCCGCGGUACGUCCGGCGAAAUUGACUAUUACUGGCGCACAGUCCAGUAACCUCAACCUGCAAGCGAAGACCCCGUAGAGCUUUACUGCAGCCUGGCGCUGUACAUUCGCACACUUUGUGCUGAGUAGACGGGAGAUGUCGAUCCUCAGGACGCUAGUUCUGAGAGGAGUCGUCCAUAGAGACACCGUCCUUAGUGUGUGGCUGUACUUACUCUUCAUGAGGACACCGCUUGGUGGGCAGGUUGGGUGGGGCGCAACGCGCCCGAAAACCUAACAGGCGUGCCCAAAGGUCAGCUUAGGUGGUUCAGUCUCCACCGUAAACCGUAAGGGGAAAAGCUGGCUUGACGUGGAUCGGAUCAAUAACGAUCGACGAUGCGAAAGCAGGGCCUAACGAACCAAUGUGCCUCAUUUCUGGGGGCCAUUGAUAACAGAAAAGUUACCUCGGGGAUAAUUGAGUUGUCACCAGCAAGAGCACAUAUCGACCUGGUGGCUUGCUACUUCGAUGUCGUAUCUUCCCAACCUCCUGGUGCAGCAGCUGGGAAGGGUGGGGUUGUUCGCCCAUUAAAGGGGAUCGUGAGAUGGGUUUAGACCGUCGUGAGACAGGUUUGUUGCUUUGUGGUUGAGGCGUAUCAGGUGCCUGAUCGGAAGGGCCCUUUAGUACGAGAGGAACGAGGGCUCGGAGCCACUAGUUUACCAGUUGUCCGGCAGGGCAACGCUGGGUAGCCACGCUCCAGCGGAUAAGAGCUGAAAGCAUCUAAGCUCGAAGUCGCCCGAAAGACGAGGCACCUCAGGGGACUCGUAGAAGACGAGUUUGAUAGACAGCGGGUGUAAGGACCGAGGUUCGCCGAGGUCUUCAGCCCAGCUGCACUAACCCCCCGAGCAUCCAAAUA